AGCCCCGAGGUGAUUUUCAUGUUGAAUUGCAAGUUCAAGGAGCAGUCUUCUGCCGGGGCUU
Molecule: transfer RNA, 61 nt
Filed under: Macaca fascicularis (crab-eating macaque)
Lineage: Eukaryota; Metazoa; Chordata; Mammalia; Primates; Cercopithecidae
Description: tRNA-Cys
Source: RNAcentral